This 505-nucleotide ribosomal RNA is filed under the name uncultured bacterium. Its description in RNAcentral is "partial 16S ribosomal RNA". It matches the Rfam family "Bacterial small subunit ribosomal RNA", at positions 28 to 507 of the family's 1533-position model. The record is from RNAcentral.
GACGAACGCUGGCGGCGUGCCUAAUACAUGCAAGUAGAACGCACAGUUUAUACCGUAGCUUGCUACACCAUAAACUGUGAGUUGCGAACGGGUGAGUAACGCGUAGGUAACCUGCCUGGUAGCGGGGGAUAACUAUUGGAAACGAUAGCUAAUACCGCAUAAUAUUGAUUAUUGCAUGAUAAUUGAUUGAAAGAUGCUAUUGCAUCACUACCAGAUGGACCUGCGUUGUAUUAGCUAGUAGGUGAGGUAACGGCUCACCUAGGCGACGAUACAUAGCCGACCUGGUAAGGUGAUCGGCCACACUGGGACUGAGACACGGCCCAGACUCCUACGGGAGGCAGCAGUAGGGAAUCUUCGGCAAUGGACGAAAGUCUGACCGAGCAACGCCGCGUGAGUGAAGAAGGUUUUCGGAUCGUAAAGCUCUGUUGUAAGAGAAGAACGGGUGUGAGAGUGGAAAGUUCACACUGUGACGGUAUCUUACCAGAAAGGGACGGCUAACUACGUG